AAAAAACAACGUAAUUUUUUGCUGUAUACUUAUUAAUUGGUAAACAUAAUCAUUUUACGUAAUAACACUAAAUGUCAUUUAAAAAAAGCGGAGUCCAUGAACUCGUUAUGAAGUUAUAUCAGUUUGAAUUAUCAAAUCAAAUCGGUUGAAAACUGCAUCUUUUCCCGAUAAGUCAACGUUUGACGUCGCGAAAAUAACAUCUUACGUUAGUAACGUCAUUACCUUUCCUGUAACUGUAUCAUAUGCCCUUAAUGAUGUUUUUGUAUGUACCUA
This 273-nucleotide long non-coding RNA is filed under the name Mytilus galloprovincialis (Mediterranean mussel). Lineage: Eukaryota; Metazoa; Mollusca; Bivalvia; Mytilida; Mytilidae. The record is from RNAcentral.